GUCGCAAGACCAAAGUGGGGGACCUUCGGGCCUCAUGCCAUCAGAUGUGCCCAGAUGGGAUUAGCUAGUAGGUGGGGUAACGGCUCACCUAGGCGACGAUCCCUAGCUGGUCUGAGAGGAUGACCAGCCACACUGGAACUGAGACACGGUCCAGACUCCUACGGGAGGCAGCAGUGGGGAAUAUUGCACAAUGGGCGCAAGCCUGAUGCAGCCAUGCCGCGUGUGUGAAGAAGGCCUUCGGGUUGUAAAGCACUUUCAGCGGGGAGGAAGGCG
This 273-nucleotide ribosomal RNA is filed under the name Klebsiella pneumoniae. RNAcentral's name for it is "partial 16S ribosomal RNA". It matches the Rfam family "Bacterial small subunit ribosomal RNA", at positions 192 to 453 of the family's 1533-position model. The record is from RNAcentral. Lineage: Bacteria; Pseudomonadati; Pseudomonadota; Gammaproteobacteria; Enterobacterales; Enterobacteriaceae. RNAcentral also lists the same sequence under 4 other names.